This is a long non-coding RNA of Onychostruthus taczanowskii (white-rumped snowfinch), 3330 nucleotides long. RefSeq lists it as uncharacterized. The transcript is spliced from 2 exons. The record is from RefSeq and is a predicted model, not a curated record. Lineage: Eukaryota; Metazoa; Chordata; Aves; Passeriformes; Passeridae.
UGCUUAAACAAACUGAGUUAUAACAAUUCCGAGAGAUAAGGUUUUGCUUCUCACUAAGAGAGUUAUAAAUUAACUGAAAUGGUAGCUCUGAUGGUAACAAAGGUAUGGGCACAGCUGUGGUGGCCAUUGGGCUUUUUCCACUGUCUACUCAUUGUAGCAGAUGGAAAAAGCUUACCAUACAGUCCUUACCAUCUGAAUCUUCAUACUAAUAACCAAGACAUUUCUAAGGAAUUAACCACAGAGAUAAUUCCUUGUUUAAAUUUUGGGUUUCUUCUGACUCCACUGAAUUUAAUUCCUGACCAAAAAAAAAAAAAAAACUAACAAGAUGAAUAAGAAAUAUUUCUCUAGAAUGAAGAAUUUAAUUGUAAGUUCCGAAACUAAGACACAAAUCCUGCUUCUUUUUUUUUUCAAGAUUUUUUUUGUUUUUUAGAACAUCUGCAGUCAAAAGCUAGCCUUUAAAAACAGUCUUAGGGUUUUGUUUUUAAUAGACAAGUAUGACGAGAAUUUUGGUUCAUGUUCCCAGUGCAAUAUUACUUUAAACUAAGGAGGAGUCAGACACAGCAUGACAAGCUGCAGCAGUAAAACGCAUGUGGUCAACCAGCACUGAAACCAAGACCACGGCCAGCUGACAUGGCCGAGCCCAGAAAGGUGCCAGAAGAGCUGUGCAACUGCGCCGGGACACACCAGAGAACUGGUUUCCCAGGACUGACAAGGGAAUGGCCAUGUGAAGGCCAGCUAAUGAAGAAGGAGCCCAGAUAAUUAAUAUUGCCCUUUGUUCCCACCCAACUUAAAACUGACAACAACUUGCAAACAACCAAAACAUCACAACCACUCCAAGCCCCAAAGGCAGCAUUAAUUGCUUGAAAUAUAUUCAGUUUGUUAUUAUAUUACAAAAUUCACCAGUGUGUUUAUUAGAGAAAAAGAAACUUAAGCAUUUCUGAAAAUAGCAUGAUUGUAUUUUUUAACCUCCUCUCACAUAAGCACCUUUCAUGAAGCAGUGGUUGCCAAGCAGCUUAAAUCCUGUUCUCUAACAGGAAACAAUUGUAUUUUAAUUACUUCAAAACUACCUCAAUCUACAGGAAACAUAAGGAAACCCUGCUAAUCUGUAUAGUUAAGAGUUUAAACAGAACAUGAUUAGCAGAAGGGUUGGCUCCAAUCUUCCUGCCCUGAAGACUGCAGAACAACCAGCUCAUUCCCAAUCCACACUUCACUCCCUGCUCAACCCCAGAACUGCUGCAGUCUGCAUCCAAGAAUCACCUGCACUUCCAGAACUCACUGUGUCAGGCAACUGCUAGAACUGGGUUAUUAAAAAACCCCACAUCCCUGCCCCCACUAACCUACCCUGACUUAUUUUUUAAAUGACACAUCCUCCAUUCAGCUUCUUUUCACUUCUUGUCCCAAUAUUUACAAUUUAGAAAAUUAAUUUUUUCCGGCUGCUUUCUACUGGUGUUCAAAUUUAAAAAGCAAGGAGGGGUUUAUGUGACUUACGGGGCCCAGAACCACAUUGCCUAUUGAAAGCUCGUUUGCAUUUAAGUGGGAGUAUUACACAAAUAAAAGGGAUAGGCUGCCUGUCAGGAGGGCUAAGAUGAAAUACAUGCCUCUAAUUCAUGAGUGCCAGGGUCUAUUGAACAAACUGAACUUGUCUGUGAAUGUAGCAGCACCCUGAAUAAUCAAAUCCCACUUCACUUCAUGUAUGGAAAAUGCCUCAAGAACUAUUUUGUUACUACUUGAAGUGUGAAAUUUCUCCUUAAAAGAACAAGCUCCAGCCCAGAAACAUCUCUGUGCAGCAGACCAAUGCUGCCUGUCACAAGUAUCACAGAGAUCAUCAGGGCUGUUCCUGCAGACACAGUAAAUAGCUGGGCUGCUUGGCUCAAGUGUGGGAUGUGGGAACACUGCAUUUCAAAUAGCCGUGUUGUACUUCCACAUGUUUUCUGAUGCUCACUGCGCGGGAACUGGGAAAGUGGUCUGAAAAAGGCUCAGAAACACAAUUAUGACCAUCUCAUUUUUUUAAAAAGCUUUAAGGCAUUUUAAAGUAAUAGUUGCAAAAUGCACAGCUAACACAGCAUAUGGAAGGGAGGGCUGUGAUAAAAAAAGACAUUUGAUCUGCACUCAGUGCUAUGGUGAGUAAAGAAACUCUGAUCAAACUAAUGCUACAAAGAUGUCUGCAGUAGACAGUGAAUGAGUUUAGUACCUGUCUUCAGAUGUCUCUCAAGAUGGACCUUUUUCUUUUUAUAGCUAUGUAAUACAAACCUUCAUGUAAUCUUUAUUUGUCACUAAGUACAUCUUUAUGCUACUGAACACACCGCUUCCAAUAGCGAGUAAACAGCUAAAACCAGAAGUUAUUUGUAGUAUGCUCCAAGUCCUCUACCUAGAAGGAUACACGAAGGACAGAGCUUGCUCCCGACAGGAGCACGAGCUGCUCAUGACACCCGCACACUUCCCUGUACUUCCAGCUCCGAGCCUCCCUGGAAGGAGGACAGACAGCUUUGCAGGGGUGUUUUGGUGCUGUCCUGGGUGAACACCAAUACGCUGCCUCCACUGCCCAGCCACACUCCAGAACAGCCUUGCCAACCCUCCCAGAGCCCAGGGGUUUAGCUCCUUUGAUCUAUUUUAAAACACAUCAUGAGGACAGACUGAAGUGUGACAAUCAAACUGCAUUAAACCCAGACAAAUGGAAGCACCAGUGACUAGCCUUUCGGCUGAAGGUUUUCUUCUGACAGGAGCAUGGGAGACCUAAAUGCCCUUUCCAAGGCUGUCAGGCUUGGGAAGAAAUCCAAAACCUUAGACUGGCCACACUCCAAAUAUGUGAGCUUAUGGUUUUGCCAUGUACAAACAGGUUCCUGAAGGGACAAGCAAGAUGAAAAUACUCAGCAGGAACUUUAUUUCAGUCUCAACAGCACAGAAAGUCCCUGCUUGUACCAGUAAACAACUGCCACCUUCCAAUAACGAGAUUAGCAACAAGCCAUUUCAGCGCCUGCUCCCGGUGCAGAGAGAACAAUGACGGCCAAGUACCGUCAGACUCUUCCUUCGCCAGCGGCUCAGCCCCAGCAGAGCAGAGCAGGGCUCCGGGGCCAGCACAGCCCACCCUGGCCUCGCCGUGGUGCUGCCAGGCCUGCACCAGGGCGGGAGAACUGGAGCAACGGGACAGCUUUUUUCUGAAGAGAGCUGAGGAGCAAGAGGGGUUCCAGUUGGAGGAACAGGCACCACCCCUCCCUGCCAAAGCAGCAGUGCCCUCUGCCCUUGGACAUAUCGCAUCACCUUCCACUUCUCAGGUGAUGUCAGCUUUUAUCAUUGUGACGGUUCAAAAUACAGAAGCUAUAAAAACAAGAA